UUGUGGCUCAGUGGCAGAGCAUCUACUUGACAUACAGAAGGUCCCAGGUUCAGUUCUCGGGGUAUCAA
RNAcentral lists this transfer RNA (68 nucleotides) under Sphaerodactylus townsendi. RNAcentral's name for it is "tRNA-Val". Lineage: Eukaryota; Metazoa; Chordata; Lepidosauria; Squamata; Sphaerodactylidae. The record is from RNAcentral.